GACGAACGCUGGCGGCGUGCCUAAUACAUGCAAGUCGAACGAACCGCGACUAGGUGCUUGCACUUGGUCAAGGUGAGUGGCGAACGGGUGAGUAACACGUGGGUAACCUACCUCAUAGUGGGGGAUAACAGUCGGAAACGACUGCUAAUACCGCAUAGGACAUAGGAUCACAUGAUUCUGUGAGGAAAGGUGGCGCAAGCUAUCGCUAAGAGAUGGACCCGCGGUGCAUUAGCUAGUUGGUAGGGUAAAGGCCUACCAAGGCGAUGAUGCAUAGCCGACCUGAGAGGGUGAUCGGCCACAUUGGGAUUGAGAAACGGCCCAAACCCCUACGGGAGGCAGAGGGAGGGAAACUUCCGCAAUGGACGCAAGUCUGACGGAGCGACGCCGCGGGAGUGAAGAAGGUCUUCGGAUCGUAAAGCUCUGUUGUUAGAGAAGAACAGCGCAUAGAGUAACUGUUAUGCGUGGGACGGGAUCUAACCAGAAAGCCACGGCAAACUACGG
Molecule: ribosomal RNA, 501 nt
Filed under: uncultured bacterium
Lineage: Bacteria
Description: partial 16S ribosomal RNA
Rfam family: Bacterial small subunit ribosomal RNA
Source: RNAcentral